Molecule: ribosomal RNA, 479 nt
Filed under: Paracoccus sp. (in: a-proteobacteria)
Lineage: Bacteria; Pseudomonadati; Pseudomonadota; Alphaproteobacteria; Rhodobacterales; Paracoccaceae
Description: bacterial SSU rRNA
Rfam family: Bacterial small subunit ribosomal RNA
Source: RNAcentral
UGCAAGUCGAGCGCGCCCUUCGGGGUGAGCGGCGGACGGGUGAGUAACGCGUGGGAACGUACCCUUUGCUACGGAAUAGCCUCGGGAAACUGAGAGUAAUACCGUAUACGCCCUUUGGGGGAAAGAUUUAUCGGCAAAGGAUCGGCCCGCGUUGGAUUAGGUAGUUGGUGGGGUAAUGGCCCACCAAGCCGACGAUCCAUAGCUGGUUUGAGAGGAUGAUCAGCCACACUGGGACUGAGACACGGCCCAGACUCCUACGGGAGGCAGCAGUGGGGAAUCUUAGACAAUGGGGGCAACCCUGAUCUAGCCAUGCCGCGUGAGUGAUGAAGGCCUUAGGGUUGUAAAGCUCUUUCAGCUGGGAAGAUAAUGACGGUACCAGCAGAAGAAGCCCCGGCUAACUCCGUGCCAGCAGCCGCGGUAAUACGGAGGGGGCUAGCGUUGUUCGGAAUUACUGGGCGUAAAGCGCACGUAGGCGGACC